RNAcentral lists this ribosomal RNA (173 nucleotides) under uncultured Actinomadura sp. RNAcentral's name for it is "partial 16S ribosomal RNA". It matches the Rfam family "Bacterial small subunit ribosomal RNA", at positions 337 to 522 of the family's 1533-position model. Lineage: Bacteria; Bacillati; Actinomycetota; Actinomycetes; Streptosporangiales; Thermomonosporaceae. The record is from RNAcentral.
UCCUACGGGAGGCAGCAGUGGGGAAUCUUGCGCAAUGGGCGAAAGCCUGACGCAGCGACGCCGCGUGGGGGAUGAAGGCCCUCGGGUCGUAAACCCCUUUCGGCAGGGACGAAGCGAACGUGACGGUACCUGCAGAAGAAGUCCCGGCUAACUACGUGCCAGCAGCCGCGGUA